This 1140-nucleotide long non-coding RNA is filed under the name Fragaria vesca (wild strawberry). Its description in RNAcentral is "long non-coding RNA (FVES_LNC000264)". Lineage: Eukaryota; Viridiplantae; Streptophyta; Magnoliopsida; Rosales; Rosaceae. The record is from RNAcentral.
UUAGAGGGACAGAAGAGAAAACAGAGAUUUUGGGAGCAGUUCACGCACGAUCUCAAGACGAGAGAACUACCCAGGGCCAUGAUGUCCAUACGGCAGUUGAUCAGAGAUUCGGCUUACAUUCGGCACUUUAGAUUUUUCUUUUAUUUCUUUUCGUGUUUAGAUAUGGCAACAUGACAAUCAAGAACGAAUUUAGAUAUGGCAGCAUUUGUGCUACCCCUCCCCAAAUCUGUUCUUGAGGUCAGACUUGAUAAUUGUCAUUGGGUAACUUACAAGAUUUUGUUUUCAAGUGAUUUUGGAGUUGUUUAACUAAUUGAUUUUCUCCUGUGGGUUUCUGUGAAUGUUGCAAGUAUCUGAGCAGUUUAUGGUUCCAGGUAACCCCUUUGUUCUUCUCCAUUCAACUAAUCUGGUUUUCGAAUUGCACGGUUUCUUCUCUUUUUAUGAAUCUAGUCGGGUUUUGUGAUUGGUGCUACUGAAAUUUUACUGAUUCAGUCAUUCAGACUUAAAGCUUUUGGCUCUGGGCUUUUAUGAUGCUCUAUUAUACUUCUAUCAGAAUGCAAGGGAAGGUAAUGAACUAAGAAAACUUAAAGAGUAUAAGCAUAAACAGAAAAUUAGGAAUGUAAGAGGUUUUGCAUUAGGGAAAAUCUGACUUUUGAUAUCAGUUGGUAGCUGCUAAAUCAUAAACAGACCUUCCUUGCUAUAUGGUUGGUUCAAACAGAGUGGUUUGGGUAGUUGGUGAGUAACUAACUAAUUGUUCUUACAAAAGUAUGAGUAAUGAUAAAGAGUCCAGAGUCAUGGUGAUUAUUAAUGACAACCAGAGUCCAGAUGCUUUUCUUGAUUGGUGAUUUCUUUGCAACAAUGGCAAAUUUGCAAAUCUAAAAUAGAGAUGGGAACUAGACAAAGAAUUGCAGCUUGAACUACUGCUUAUCAUCAUUGUGGUGGUGUCAAUAUGAUGAUUCUAUGUUGUGAUUCUCAGAUGUUGUACACAUACUCAAACCUUGAAUAUUCGGUUAAGUUAUAGUGAGAAUUAGCCUUUUACAGUUAUUAUUCCUUGAAUGUGUCAUUUCAACUACUCCAAUAUGCAGGCUUUUGACCUUCUUCUCUUCUUUAGGUCCGCUAUCCAAUGACAUCUUCAGCAAAAUG